GUCGUAAUAUCUUUAUUGCAUAUAUUGAUUGUCCACCUUGGAGCAAGAUCUGCAUACUUGUUCGAAGCACCUGAUAUCACUUCAGUUUUUGGUUGGGUACGUGUUGCUUAGUCUUUAGUUUUCAAUGUUGUCUUUUUUGUACCAAAUAUUAUUAUCGGUCUGUUUGUCGUUUUUCUUUUUUAACCAUGGCGUUGUCAGUUUAUUUUCGACCGAUGAGUUUGAAUGUCCAUCUGGUAUAUGUCGCCCCUCUUCUAUUAGCUUCUGACUUGGCACAGGCACAUAGCGAAUGUGGUGGGGUUAUAUGUUAGCUUGCGCUGAUCCUUCUAGUGCGUGACAGUUGGUGUACAGCAAAACAUAGUAUUAAACUAUAAACAUCAGCUGCACUUGUCUGAACUUUAAAGUCGUCUGAUAUGUCGAUUUAUCGAUUUCAUCGCACUAAGAAUGAUGCUUUAAGGUGGUACCUAACACUUAUACUAAAAUUAAUUUGGCUCGUUUAAUUUUCAUAAAAUUUUGUCAAAGUAUUUACUUUGACCCUUUAACAAAAAUACAAAAAUUUCAAAAACUUUGAACCAACCGUUUUGUCAGAAAAAUUACACUGGUUAUAUAGCAGUUUGACAAACACCAAUUUUGAUCAUUGAGAAGCUUAAUAUUCCUUUUACAACAGAACUUAAUUAAAACGUUUAGCUGACUUUAAAGAGUUAUCUCCCUGUAGUGUUAGGUACCACCUUAAUAGAAGGAUAGGCUUACAUUGUCGACGUACCGAAUGUAAGGUUUCGAUAAGGUUUUGCUAAUUGUUUUUUUUUUAAAUUCUAAAUGAUUUCAUCAGUUAUGAACGUCGGUAGACUCCAGCUGCCUGCCAUUUAAAAUAAAUUCUUAAUUCCAAUGAAACAAAAUCUGAAUUUAAUUCAAUUUAUAGGUUGUCCAGUGAAAGUGGUUACACAGCCUUGCCGACGACCUACUGAUGGCAGACAGUUCAUCAUGGGACACUGUAGUGUAUGCCUUAUAUUUGCUGUCUACCAUAGUGAUAACUUUC
This 1033-nucleotide long non-coding RNA is filed under the name Mytilus galloprovincialis (Mediterranean mussel). The record is from RNAcentral. Lineage: Eukaryota; Metazoa; Mollusca; Bivalvia; Mytilida; Mytilidae.